This 599-nucleotide long non-coding RNA is filed under the name Brachypodium distachyon (stiff brome). Its description in RNAcentral is "long non-coding RNA (BDIS_LNC004860)". The record is from RNAcentral. Lineage: Eukaryota; Viridiplantae; Streptophyta; Magnoliopsida; Poales; Poaceae.
CGGCGGCGGCUGGGCUAGGCUGCUCGGUCCGGUUCGCGGCGUGGGCAGGCGCAUGCACGCAUGCGGGCGAGCACGUGGAGACAGGGCCGGUUCGGCCAAGUUGGCCGGCCGGUCCGUUUCCCUUUUUUUUGUUCUUUUUCUUUUCUCCUUUUCUUUUUCUGUUUUUCCUUUAUAACUUUUGAUUUUGAACUGCAAAUCAACUCAAAUAAAUUCCAGAAAAAUAAUAGAAUCAAAUCCUUAUAUGAUUCAACUCUUGGGACUAAAUUCCCCUCAAAAUAAAAUACUUGAAAAUACUUUUGUCUAUAUAAUUGCCUCUAAUGCAAUGUUAUUUAAAUACAAAAUAGUUUUUCAACUCCAAAUUAAAUAUCAAACAUUAUGGGGUAGCUUAUCUUAUUGCAAUAAACCCCUUUCUAUUGUCAAAACCCCAUGGGUUGGAAAAUUCCAAAUAGAUGCAAAGUAGAAUUAAAAGGUAAAAGACUUAAUAAAAAUGUUUUAAAUUUUUCUUUGGUUUAAAGGUGUUCAAUGUGCAUAAAUGGCAUGAUGCUCAUGAUUGCAAAUGCAUGAUGCAAGGUUUGGAAAAAAAUUUGGGAUGUCACAUU